Molecule: ribosomal RNA, 497 nt
Filed under: uncultured bacterium
Lineage: Bacteria
Description: partial 16S ribosomal RNA
Rfam family: Bacterial small subunit ribosomal RNA
Source: RNAcentral
GAUGAACGCUGGCGGCGUGCCUAAUACAUGCAAGUCGAGCGGACGGACGAGAAGCUUGCUGCUCUGACGUUAGCGGCGGACGGGAGUGUAACGCGUGGAUCCCCUACCUAUCAGACUGAGAUAACUUCGGGAAUCCGGCGCUAAUACCGGAUAAUCUUUUGAUCCGCAUGGUUCAAAAGUGAGAGACGGUCUUGGUGUAACUUCUCGAUGGAUCCGCGCUGCAUUAGCUAGUUGGUACGGUAACGGCUUACCAAGGGAACGAUGCAUAGCCGACGUGAGAGGGUGGUCGCCCACACUGGAGCGUAGCCACGCUCCAGGGGCCUACGGUAGGCAGCAGUCGGCAAUCUUCGGCAAUGGGCGAGAGCAUUACAGAGCAGCGCCGCGCGAGAGACGAAGACGUUCGGAUCGUAAAGCUCUGUUAUGAGUGAAGAACAGAUUUGUAAUGAGCUGUGCACAUAGUGACGGUACCUGAUCAGAAAGCCCCGGCUAACUACGUG